GGUGCACUCGCAGGAGACCGCCAGCGACAAGUUGGAGGAAGGUGGGGACGACGUCAAGUCAUCAUGGCCUUUAUGUCCAGGGCGACACACGUGCUACAAUGGGCGGUACAACGGGUUGCUAAGCCGCGAGGUGGAGCUAAUCCCUAAAAGCCGUCCUCAGUUCGGAUCGCAGGCUGCAAUUCGCCUGCGUGAAGCUGGAAUCGCUAGUAAUGGCGCAUCAGAACGGCGCCGUGAAUACGUUCCCGGGCCUUGUACACACCGCCCGUCACAUCACGAAAGUGGAUUGUACUAGAAGUCCGUGAGCCAACCUUCGGGAGGCAGCGGCCCAAGGUAUGAUUCACGAUUGGGGUGAAGUCGUAACAAGGUAGCCGUAGGAGAACCUGCGGCUGGAUCACCUCCUUUCUAA
RNAcentral lists this small RNA (406 nucleotides) under uncultured bacterium. Its description in RNAcentral is "bacterial SSU rRNA". It matches the Rfam family "Bacterial small subunit ribosomal RNA", at positions 1132 to 1533 of the family's 1533-position model. The record is from RNAcentral.